This is a long non-coding RNA of Tympanuchus pallidicinctus (lesser prairie-chicken), 168 nucleotides long. RefSeq lists it as uncharacterized. NCBI's taxonomy places the organism in Eukaryota, Metazoa, Chordata, Aves, Galliformes, Phasianidae. The transcript has 3 exons. The record is from RefSeq and is a predicted model, not a curated record.
GUUAGGGUUAGGGUUAGGGUAAGGGUUGGGGUUAGGGUUAGGUUUAGGGUUAGGUUUAGGGUUAGGGUUAGGGUUAGGGUUAGGGUUAGGUUAGGGUUAGGGUUAGGGUUAGGGUUAGGGUUAGGGUUAGGGUUAGGGUUAGGGUUAGGGUUAGGGUUAGGGUUAGGG